AGAGUUUGAUCAUGGCUCAGAGCGAACGCUGGCGGCAGGCCUAACACAUGCAAGUCGAACGGACUCUUCGGAGUUAGUGGCGGACGGGUGAGUAACACGUGGGAACGUGCCUUUAGGUUCGGAAUAAGCUCGGGAAACUGGGUCUAAUACCGAAUGUGCCCUUCGGGGGAAAGAUUUAUCGCCUUUAGAGCGGCCCGCGUCUGAUUAGCUAGUUGGUGGUGUAAUGGACCACCAAGGCGACGAUCAGUAGCUGGUCUGAGAGGAUGACCAGCCACAUUGGGACUGAGACACGGCCCAAACUCCUACGGGAGGCAGCAGUGGGGAAUCUUGCGCAAUGGGCGAAAGCCUGACGCAGCCAUGCCGCGUGUAUGAUGAAGGUCUUAGGAUUGUAAAAUACUUUCACCGGUGAAGAUAAUGACUGUAGCCGGAGAAGAAGCCCCGGCUAACUUCGUGCCAGCAGCCGCGGUAAUACGAAGGGGGCUAGCGUUGCUCGGAAUUACUGGGCGUAAAGGGAGCGUAGGCGGACAUUUAAGUCAGGGGUGAAAUCCCAGAGCUCAACUCUGGAACUGCCUUUGAUACUGGGUGUCUUGAGUGUGAUAGAGGUAUGUGGAACUCCGAGUGUAGAGGUGAAAUUCGUAGAUAUUCGGAAGAACACCAGUGGCGAAGGCGACAUACUGGAUCAUUACUGACGCUGAGGCUCGAAAGCGUGGGGAGCAAACAGGAUUAGAUACCCCGGUAGUCC
This 742-nucleotide ribosomal RNA is filed under the name uncultured bacterium. RNAcentral's name for it is "bacterial SSU rRNA". It matches the Rfam family "Bacterial small subunit ribosomal RNA", at positions 8 to 796 of the family's 1533-position model. The record is from RNAcentral.